RNAcentral lists this ribosomal RNA (301 nucleotides) under uncultured bacterium. Its description in RNAcentral is "partial 16S ribosomal RNA". It matches the Rfam family "Bacterial small subunit ribosomal RNA", at positions 509 to 807 of the family's 1533-position model. The record is from RNAcentral.
CAGUAGCCGCGGGAAUACGGAGGGUGCAAGCGUUAAUCGGAAUUACUGGGCGUAAAGCGCACGCAGGCGGUCUGACAAGUCAGAUGUGAAAUCCCCGGGCUUAACCUGGGAACUGCAUUUGAAACUGUCAGGCUGGAGUCUUGUAGAGGGGGGUAGAAUUCCAGGUGUAGCGGUGAAAUGCGUAGAGAUCUGGAGGAAUACCGGUGGCGAAGGCGGCCCCCUGGACAAAGACUGACGCUCAGGUGCGAAAGCGUGGGGAGCAAACAGGAUUAGAUACCCGGGUAGUCCCUGUCUCUUAUAC